Molecule: ribosomal RNA, 471 nt
Filed under: uncultured organism
Description: partial 16S ribosomal RNA
Rfam family: Bacterial small subunit ribosomal RNA
Source: RNAcentral
ACACUCCUGCGGGAGGCAGCAGUGAGGAAUAUUGGACAAUGGGUGGAAGCCUGAUCCAGCCAUCCCGCGUGCAGGAAGACGGCCCUAUGGGUUGUAAACUGCUUUUAUCUGGGGAUAAACCUACUUACGUGUAAGUAGCUGAAGGUACCAGAAGAAUAAGCACCGGCUAACUCCGUGCCAGCAGCCGCGGUAAUACGGAGGGUGCAAGCGUUAUCCGGAUUUAUUGGGUUUAAAGGGUCCGUAGGCGGACUGAUAAGUCAGUGGUGAAAUCCGACAGCUUAACUGUCGAACUGCCAUUGAUACUGUUAGUCUUGAGUAAGGUUGAAGUGGCUGGAAUAAGUAGUGUAGCGGUGAAAUGCAUAGAUAUUACUUAGAACACCAAUUGCGAAGGCAGGUCACUAAGUCUUAACUGACGCUGAUGGACGAAAGCGUGGGGAGCGAACAGGAUUAGAAACCCGGGUAGUCCCAUGA